AACGCGAAGAACCUUACCUGGGUUUGACAUCCUCUGACAACCGUAGAGAUACGGCUUCUGUAGCAAUACAGCAGAGUGACAGGUGCUGCAUGGCUGUCGUCAGCUCGUGUGGUGACAUGUUGGGUUAAGUCCCGCAACGAGCGCAACCCUUGUCUUUAGUUGCCAGCAUUCAGUUGGGCUCUCUAAAGAGACUGCCGUGGUGAACACGGAGGAAGGUGGGGAUGACGUCAAGUCCUCAUGGCCUUUAUAUCCAGGGCGACACACGUGAUACAAUGGACGGUACAGAGGGAAGCCAAUGCGCGAGUAGGAGCCAAUCUCAAAAAGCCGUUCUCAGUUCGGAUUGGAGUCUGCAACUCGACUCCAUGAAGUUGGAAUCGCUAGUAAUCGCGGAUCAGCACGCCGCGGUGAAUACGUUCCCGGGCCUUGUACACACCGAGUAUA
RNAcentral lists this ribosomal RNA (441 nucleotides) under uncultured bacterium. RNAcentral's name for it is "bacterial SSU rRNA". It matches the Rfam family "Bacterial small subunit ribosomal RNA", at positions 958 to 1398 of the family's 1533-position model. The record is from RNAcentral.